This 87-nucleotide transfer RNA is filed under the name uncultured archaeon. RNAcentral describes it as "tRNA-Trp(cca)". It matches the Rfam family "tRNA". From Rfam's summary of the family: Transfer RNA (tRNA) molecules are approximately 80 nucleotides in length. Their secondary structure includes four short double-helical elements and three loops (D, anti-codon, and T loops). The record is from RNAcentral.
GCGUCGAUGGUCUAGUGGUUAUGACUUGGGCCUUCCAUGCGUUUGCGAAGCAAGCCUACAACCCGGGUUCGAAUCCCGGUCGACGCA